This 542-nucleotide ribosomal RNA is filed under the name Bacillus sp. (in: firmicutes). RNAcentral's name for it is "bacterial SSU rRNA". It matches the Rfam family "Bacterial small subunit ribosomal RNA", at positions 108 to 636 of the family's 1533-position model. Lineage: Bacteria; Bacillati; Bacillota; Bacilli; Caryophanales; Bacillaceae. The record is from RNAcentral.
GAGUAACACGUGGGUAACCUGCCUGUAAGACUGGGACUCUCCUAGAAACCGGGGCUAAUACCGGAUGCUUGAUUGAACCGCAUGGUUCAAUCAUAAAAGGCGGCUUCGGCUGCCGUUCUUCAAAAGAGCCGCGGCGCAUUAGCUAGUUGGUGAGGUAACGGCUCACCAAGGCGACGAUGCGUAGCCGACCUGAGAGGGUGAUCGGCCACACUGGGACUGAGACACGGCCCAGACUCCUACGGGAGGCAGCAGUAGGGAAUCUUCCGCAAUGGACGAAAGUCUGACGGAGCAACGCCGCGUGAGUGAUGAAGGUUUUCGGAUCGUAAAGCUCUGUUGUUAGGGAAGAACAAGUACCGUUCGAAUAGGGCGGUACCUUGAUUUUUCCUAACCAGAAAGCCACGGCUAACUACGUGCCACCAGCCGCGGUAAUACGUAGGUGGCAAGCGUUGUCCGGAAUUAUUGGGCGUAAAGCGCGCGCAGGCGGUUUCUUAAGUCUGAUGUGAAAGCCCCCGGCUCAACCGGGGAGGGUCAUUGGAAACUGG